This 595-nucleotide ribosomal RNA is filed under the name uncultured Actinomycetes bacterium. RNAcentral describes it as "bacterial SSU rRNA". It matches the Rfam family "Bacterial small subunit ribosomal RNA", at positions 828 to 1422 of the family's 1533-position model. Lineage: Bacteria; Bacillati; Actinomycetota; Actinomycetes. The record is from RNAcentral.
CACAUUCCACGUGGUCCGUGACGAAGUUAACACAUUAAGCACCCCGCCUGGGGAGUACGGUCGCAAGACUAAAACUCAAAGGAAUUGACGGGGGCCCGCACAAGCGGCGGAGCAUGCGGAUUAAUUCGAUGCAACGCGAAGAACCGUACCAAGGCUUGACAUAUAGAGGAAACGUGCAGAAAUGUACGCCCCGCAAGGUCUCUAUACAGGUGGUGCAUGGUUGUCGUCAGCUCGUGUCGUGAGAUGUUGGGUUAAGUCCCGCAACGAGCGCAACCCUCGUCCUAUGUUGCCAGCACGUAAUGGUGGGAACUCAUGGGAGACUGCCGGGGUCAACUCGGAGGAAGGUGGGGAUGACGUCAAAUCAUCAUGCCCCUUAUGUCUUGGGCUUCACGAAUGCUACAAUGGCCAGUACAAAGGGCUGCAAUACCGUAAGGUGGAGCGAAUCCCAAAAAGCUGGUCUCAGUUCGGAUUGAGGUCUGCAACUCGACCUCAUGAAGUCGGAGUCGCUAGUAAUCGCAGAUCAGCAACGCUGCGGUGAAUACGUUCCCGGGCCUUGUACACACCGCCCGUCAAGUCACGAAAGUCGGUAACACCC